RNAcentral lists this non-coding RNA (115 nucleotides) under Geomicrobium sp. JCM 19038. RNAcentral describes it as "TPP riboswitch aptamer (THI element)". It matches the Rfam family "TPP riboswitch aptamer (THI element)". Rfam says of the family: Vitamin B(1) in its active form thiamin pyrophosphate (TPP) is an essential coenzyme that is synthesised by coupling of pyrimidine and thiazole moieties in bacteria. The previously detected thiamin-regulatory element, thi box was extended, resulting in a new, highly conserved RNA secondary structure, the THI element, which is widely distributed in eubacteria and also occurs in some archaea. RNAcentral also lists the same sequence under 1 other name. The record is from Rfam by way of RNAcentral. Lineage: Bacteria; Bacillati; Bacillota; Bacilli; Caryophanales.
AACCUUAACUAGGGGAGCCCAAUGAGCUGGGCUGAGAGGGAAGCGCAAUGAAGCUUCUUGACUCUUCGGACCUGAUCUGGAUCAUGCCAGCGUAGGGAAGUUAUCUAUGAGUCAU